RNAcentral lists this ribosomal RNA (424 nucleotides) under uncultured bacterium. RNAcentral describes it as "bacterial SSU rRNA". It matches the Rfam family "Bacterial small subunit ribosomal RNA", at positions 355 to 776 of the family's 1533-position model. The record is from RNAcentral.
UAAGGAAUAUUGGUCAAUGGAGGAAACUCUGAACCAGCUAUCCCGCGUGAAGGAUGAAGGGGCUCUGCCUUGUAAACUUCUUUUGUCUGGGGCGAAAAAGCUCGAUUUAUCGAGAACUGACGGUACCAGAAGAAUAAGCACCGGCUAACUCCGUGCCAGCAGCCGCGGUAAUACGGAGGGUGCAAGCGUUAUCCGGAAUCACUGGGUUUAAAGGGUGCGUAGGCGGCUUAGUAAGUCAGUGGUGAAAGACUGUGGCUUAACCAUGGAAUUGCCAUUGAUACUGCUGAGCUUGAAUCAGGUUGAGGUUGGCGGAAUGUGACAUGUAGCGGUGAAAUGCUUAGAUAUGUCAUGGAACACCGAUUGCGAAGGCAGCUGACUGGACCUGUAUUGACGCUGAGGCACGAAAGCGUGGGGAGCGAACAGG